This 32-nucleotide non-coding RNA is filed under the name Homo sapiens (human). The record is from RNAcentral. Lineage: Eukaryota; Metazoa; Chordata; Mammalia; Primates; Hominidae.
UCCAGGGGCAGGAGCAACGGGGAGAUCCCACU